GUGGCCGAUCCCGAAGUGGACGAGGGCCCAGGCUGUGAACCUGGGAUGAGAGGGUUCGAGUCCCUCCGGUCACC
Molecule: transfer RNA, 74 nt
Filed under: Actinomadura violacea
Lineage: Bacteria; Bacillati; Actinomycetota; Actinomycetes; Streptosporangiales; Thermomonosporaceae
Description: Actinomadura sp. LCR2-06 tRNA-His
Rfam family: tRNA
About the family: Transfer RNA (tRNA) molecules are approximately 80 nucleotides in length. Their secondary structure includes four short double-helical elements and three loops (D, anti-codon, and T loops).
Source: RNAcentral